RNAcentral lists this long non-coding RNA (8240 nucleotides) under Lactuca sativa (garden lettuce). Its description in RNAcentral is "long non-coding RNA (LSAT_LNC003125)". Lineage: Eukaryota; Viridiplantae; Streptophyta; Magnoliopsida; Asterales; Asteraceae. The record is from RNAcentral.
CUCUGUAGCAGCAGCAGGUAGGCGGAAGGGUUAGUCCCAAUCGAUCUACCUAAUAUAAAUAGUAACCUGAGACCUCCGUAGAUGCUCAUCGACCAAUGGUGCUAAUCAGUGGGGUUCAGAAUGGUAAGUCCCACCUAGAUAUCCCAUUGAACCGAGAUAGGAAAGAUAAAAUACACAGAAAGUACUAAUAAAUUAUCCUCUUAGUUCUAAGUACAAGUAUCCAGGUAAGUGAAUACAGGAUAAUGCACCUAUGUAAAAGUGUUCCUGUAUGGCAUUCAUGUAUGUGUGUCCAUGUAACAGGUAAGUAUAUGUAAACAUAUUCAUGUAUCAGGUAAACAUCUGUAAGUACUCAUGUAUCAGGUAAUGUACUAGUAUAGACUCAUGAAUGAACUGACUCUUGUGUGAUUCCUUGUAAUAGAAGUAAUGUUUGAUAUCUUCAAAUUAUCCCUAUGAUAAUUUACUGUAAUAUAACUGGUUGAUCAUGUAGGUUUAUACACUCUUACUACUCAAGGGUGUGGGAAACUAAAUGAAAGAUGUACACUAUAACAUCAAUACAUAUAUAAGAAUAUAAGUGUAUAUGCAUAGUUUAGUUCAAGAAUGAAAAAUGGUUUUUGUAAGACAUCUUAUGGGUUUUGAACAAUAAUUAACAAUGACUUGAUGUCAUUUUAAUAAACAUUUCAAAGGUAAAACAUUUGGUAACAAUGUGCUUUUAAGAUGUAAAACCAUUUCAUGCAUCACAUUUUGUAGCAUGUGAAAUCUGUUAAAUGACAAACACAGUUAUAAAAUACAUAUCAAUGAUUUAAUAACAUGUUUGUUUCUACUUGUAUUCCCCCCUACUAAAGCAUUUAGAAUCAUUUAAAACAUUGAUUAGGGGUAUGAACUCACUUGGAAGUUUGAAGAUAGCGAGAUGGAAAACCGGGCAGAGUUUCGUCUCGGGAAACGGAUUUUUCUCGGGAUUCUCGGGAAUCUCGGGAGUAAAAUCGACCCUCGGGACUUGAGCAAAAAGACCAGAGCUUCGGGUUUGAACGGGCACGGAAAUCGAGGCAAGAUCGUGAGAGAAAGAGAGAGAAUGAGCCAAAUUUUCGAAAAGCCUCGCAUCCCUUUUAUAGGGGUGCUGAACUGCCUCGGUACGCAGCGCGUACUAGGGCGUCAUCGCUUACGUACUUCGGAUGGGAGGGCGGGUCGGAUGGGACGGUGGGUCGGAUAGCUUCGCAUAGGGGCGACGUGGAUGAACCGAGACCAAGGCCCUCGGGUACGCUGGGCGUACGGGGUUACGGGGCGCGUACCUCUGAUGAGGACGCUGACUCCUCUUCGGAUAUUACUAGCAUUUUGAUUUAAAUAUAAUUAUAAUUUAUUUAAUAAACUUCAAAAGUUCAUAUCUUCCUCAUACGAACUCCGUUUUUGAUGGUCUUUAUAUCCACGCGUAGGUGAGACUACGCUCUACAACUUUCGUUUAGACUCCGUUGGCAAAUUCCGAAAUUAUUUUUAUUAUUUAUUUUAUAAAUCGUCGUGUUUAAGGAAUUUCUUUAAAAAUUCAUAACUUCUUUAUCUGACGUCGGUUUUUGCCAGACUUUUUACCGCUGAAAUACCAUUGUCGAGACCUUCGAUUCUCGUUUAGGUCAUUCCGGCCAAAAGUCGCUCGAUCUCCGAUUCGAGUUUUUAGCUGUCUGUUGCUAAGCUGAACUUGGAAAAAUCAUAACUUCAAUAUACGAAGUCGGAUUUGGGCGUUCUUUUUACGUACGAUCAUGGUUUAAUGACAUUUAAACAUAGAGGGAAUUUAAAUAGAACUAUUUGGACAUUUUAUUAUCAAAGUUAAUUUUAUUAACUCAAAAGUGGUUACAAUACUUGACCUUUUAGGUCAUUACAAAGAGUUGAAAUAUCGGGUUGUUACAACUUCCCCCCGUUAGAGGGAAUUUCGUCCCGAAAUUUAAAGUAGUAAAGAUACUAGUGAACAUGAAAGAGAUGAGGGUACUUUUGUUUCAUCUGAUCUUCGCGUUCCCAUGUGAAUUCAGGUCCCCGCUUGGCGUUCCAGCGAACCUUCACGAUGGGUAUGCGACUUUGUUUUGUUUGUUUGACCUCUCGGUCCAUGAUUUCUACUGGUUCUUCCACAAAGUUGAGGCUCUCGUUGAUCUCGAUCUCGUCGAGUGGAAUAACAAGAGUCUCGUCGGACAGACACUUUUUCAAGUUUGAGACGUGGAAGGUUGGAUGGAUGUUACUAAGUUCGCGCGGUAGGUUAAGCUUGUAAGCCACAGGGCCGAUUCUGGCAAGAAUCUCGAAAGGCCCUAUGUAUCUUGGAUUGAGCUUCCCACGCUUUCCAAAGCGUAUCAAGCCCUUCCAGGGUGAGACCUUCAGUAGGACUCGGUCGCCCACCUGGAACUCCAAUGGUUUCCUACGCUUGUCAGCGUAGCUUUUCUGUCGGUCUCUAGAGGCUUUCAAUCGUUCACGAAUUUGAACGAUCUUCUCUAUCGUUUCCCGAAUGAUCUCCGGACCCGUGAGAGUGCUUUCCGGAGCUCGUUCCUUAGCUAACUGGGUAUCGCCCACUUCAGUCCAGCACAGAGGGGAUCUGCACUUUCGGCCAUAAAGGGCCUCGAAUGGAGCUGCCUUUAUGCUCGUAUGAUAACUGUUGUUGUAGGAAAAUUCAACAAGGGGUUAAUGAGUAUCCCAAGCUUUUCCAAAGUCAAUCACACAGGCACUCAACAUAUCUUCUAAGGUUUGGAUAGUUCUCUCACUUUGCCCGUCGGUCUGUGGAUGGUAGGCUGUACUCAUGUCCAGCCUAGUUCCUAGGGAACUUUGUAAUGACUGCCAGAACCUCGAAGUGAAUCUACUAUCUCGGUCAGAGAUGAUAGAUAAGGGAACACCGUGCCGCUUUACAAUCUCCCUAAUGUAAGUUCUGGUAAGUUUCUCCAUUUUGUCUGUUUCCUUGAUCGAUAAGAAGUGUGCAGACUUGGUCAGUCUAUCGACGAUGACCCGUAUGGAAUCAAGUCCACCCGUCGUCUUGGGCAACAUGGUUAUGAAGUCCAUAGUGAUCCGCUCCCACUUCCAUUCUGGUAUCUCCGGUUGUUGUAGAAGACCGGAGGGUUUCUGGUAUUCGACCUUGACCUUUGCGCAAGUAAGGCAUUUACUCACGAAGGUAGCAAUAUCUGCUUUCAUGUUAGGCCACCAGUAUAACUUUUUAAGAUCCAGAUACAUCUUAUCUGAACCCGGGUGGACGGAAUAACGAGUGUUGUGAGCUUCCGUCAUGACCAAGUCUCUGAAGCCACCGUGUUUCGGUGUCCAGAUCCGAUCCAUGAGGUAUAAGGCUCCGCCACCCUUGACUUCCAAGUUCUUAUCCAUCCCUCUAAGGGAUUCACCAGCCACGUUUUCAGGUUUCAAAGCGUCGAGCUGAGCCUCCUUUAUUUGCGUGGACAAGUGUGAAUGGAUAGUUAGAGUCAAAGAUUUGACUCUACGACCAGUAUAUUCUUUCCGACUUAGGGCGUCGGCUACUACAUUGGCUUUACCCGGAUGAUAACGAAUUUCGCAUUCGUAAUCACUAAGUAGCUCGACCCACCGUCGUUGUCUCAUGUUGAGCUCUUUCUGGUCGAAAAUGUGCUGUAGACUCUUAUGGUCUGUAAAGAUCGUGCUUUUUGUACCGUAUAGGUAAUGUCGCCAGAUCUUCAGAGCAAACACAACUGCUCCUAGUUCAAGAUCGUGGGUUGUGUAGUUAACCUCAUGUGUCUUCAGCUGUCUCGAGGCAUAGGCGAUGACUUUACCUCGCUGCAUCAGAACACAUCCGAGUCCUUGAUUGGAUGCAUCGCAAUAGACAAUGAAGUCUUCUAUUCCUUCGGGAAGGGAUAGUAUCGGGGCGGUGCACAAGGCUCGUUUGAGCGUUUGGAACGCUCUUUCCUGUUUCUCUUCCCAGUCGAAGGCCACGCCUUUCUGGGUCAGGGUUGUAAGAGGUUUCGCUAUGCUGGAGAAGUUCUGAAUGAACCUGCGAUAGUAGCCAGCUAGACCUAGAAAUUGACGAAUUUCAGUAGGUGUCUUUGGUGCUGACCAGUUCUCGAUGGCCUUAAUUUUGGAAGGGUCCACGUGUAUACCUUCUUCGCUAACUACAUGGCCCAAAAAUUCGACUCGCCGAAUCCAAAAUUCGCACUUGGAGAACUUCGCGUAGAGCUUCUCCGCUCGCAAUGUUUCUAAGAUUUUACGGAGAUGUUGACCAUGCUCCUCCUUACUUCGAGAGUAGAUGAGUAUGUCAUCAAUGAAGACGAUGACGAACUGAUCCAAGUAAGGACGACACACCCUAUUCAUCAGAUCCAUGAAUACUGCGGGCGCGUUAGUUAAUCCGAAUGGCAUCACUACAAACUCGUAGUGCCCAUAACGAGUUCGGAAGGCUGUCUUGGGAACAUCCUCCUCUAACACUCGUAGUUGGUGAUAUCCGGAUCGCAGAUCUAUCUUCGAGAAGUAGUUGGCUCCUUGAAGUUGAUCAAAUAAAUCGUCAAUGCGGGGCAAGGGAUAACGAUUUUUAAUGGUAAGUUUGUUGAGUUCUCUAUAGUCGAUGCACAUGCGAAACGAUCCAUCUUUCUUCUUGACGAACAAGACCGGUGCUCCCCAUGGUGAGAAGCUUGGUCGAAUGAAUCCCUUCUUGAGAAGUUCGUUAAGUUGACUGGAAAGUUCCUGCAUUUCAGCCGGUGCCAGACGAUAAGGAGAUUUGGCUACGGGGGUAGCCCCUGGCACUAAGUCGAUUCUGAACUCGACUUGGCGUUGUGGUGGUAAACCGGGAAGUUCUUCUGGGAAUAUGUCGGGAAAGUCGCGUACUUCUGGGAUUUUCUGGAUGUCUUUCAGUUCUUGACUGGUAUCGACGACGUGUGCGAGAAAUGCAUGGUACUCCUUCCGCAAACACUUUUGGGCUUGAAUGCACGAAAUGAUGCGAAGGCUCGUACUAGGUUUGUCGCCGUAGAUAAUUAAAGUUUCGUUGUUAGGAAGGUUAAGACGAACUGCUUUUUCGAAGCACAUAAUGUCGGCACGAAGAAGACUCAACCAAUCCAUACCGAUGAUAACGUCAAAACAUUUAAUUGUGACUGGCAUGAGAUCUAUCUUGAAAGUAUGGCCAUCUAAAAUUAAAGUACAACCUACGAAUAUGCAGUUUGUACUCUCUGUUUUCCCGUUAGCCAUUUCUACCGUGAAUGAACUAUCUAAUGCACAUGGUUUUUGUUUAAGCAGGUGUGCAAAUUUGUGACUUACAAAACUUUUCUCGGCUCCACUAUCGAAAAGUAUGCAAGCAUAUGAGUUAUCGAGGAGGAACGUACCAGUAACUAUCGUAGGAUCAGCUACUGCUUCCUCGUGGCCUAGGGUCAUAACUCUUGCUACCCCUCCAGCCAUUCCUACUUUAGGGAAGUUCCUCUUGUAGUGACCCACUUCGCCACAUCCAUGGCAAGCUUGGCCCAUACCGGCGUUAGGAAACUGGGCAGCUUGAGCUGUUGGAGUUUGGCAGAAACGGGAGGUGUGCCCCUUCCUGUUGCAGUUGGUGCAUUGCAUCUCCCUGCAAGGCCCGCGGUGGUGGAAGUUUUACUUGGUGCACUUCGGGAGAGACCCAGCAUAAGUUUUUGCUGGUAAGGGGUUCGCGGGGAUAGCGGGUGUCACUGUGGCAGCAUUGAUUUCCACAAGUUGUUGUCUUUUGGAGGAUCCUUGUGAAGCCCCCUUUUUCCUCUUAGACCACACUUUCUGGUUAUUGCCAGGGCUAGACUAUUGGGGUGCGGGUGUAGGGAUUGUUGUGUUCUGAGGAUUCCGGUGAUCAAUAAGAGAUUGUGCCAGUUCCUUGGCACUAUCAAAGGUAAUAGGCCUGGAAGCGAUCACAUUUGACUGGAUCUGGGGCGACAGUUCCCAGAUAUAUCUCUCGAUCUUUUUUCUCUGGAGAGCAACCAUAUCCGGGCAUAAGUUUGCCAAAACACAGAACCUAUUUGUGUAGGUAGUGAUGUCGGAUCCAACCAUUUGUAGACCCCAGAAUUCUUGCUCGAGUUUUUGUAUUUCACCUCGAGGACAGUAUUCUUUCAUCAGCAUGUCUUUCAACUUUUCCCAGCUGAUGGAAUCCGCCACCACCAAAGUUAGAUAGUUAACAUGGCUGUUCCACCAUGUUAGUGCUCGGUCAGAGAAGGUACAAGCUAUGAACUUGACCUUGUUGCCAUCUUGGCAUCCGCAGAUCUCGAAGACAGAUUCCAUCUUCUCAAUCCAUUGUCUCAACACCAUAACACCCCCAGUUCCAUUGAAGCUGUGGGGUUUGGCGUUAGUGAAGUCCUUGUAGGUGCACUCCCGAGGGUGUCCAUGGCUUUUGCCGUGGUUUGAGGGAGGUGUACCUGUUCCCGAUCCACUAGGGACAGGAGCGUUGAUUGCUGACACAGCAGCUGCAACUGCUGCUGUGAAAGCUGCCUGGAACAUGCUGGCAUGGAAAGGAUUAGGUGGUUGAACAGGUACAGGCAGUGGUGGAGGUGGUGGUAUCGGUGUUUCGUUGUUUGGGUUACAUCUUGUACUUCUGCGUGGCGGCAUCUUUAAGUAUACGUUUAAAAGAUGACGACAUGGAUAAGAAUAAAUGAUUAAUGAAUGUGUCUCAUGGACUAAUCCCCAUAGUCCAACAACAGAAGGAAUAAUUAAAUUAUACGACUGACUAAGGUACUUAUAGUAAGCUCAAAUACCCAUAUGGUAUUUCUUUAUGGUUGUGUUGGUAAGUUUUUAGACUUGUUGCCAUAUUACAACCAUUCUUGGGCAUAUUCUAAUCACUCCUCGGACCAGCAUAGUUGAUCAGGAUAUGCCAUUCCCAAGACUGACCACAUAUCCAAUAUUCAACAAUCGUAAUACUUUUGUUCUUGUCGUUGUGACACUGAUUUUAGUAUGAAUGCAGGCACGUAUACUUUGUUAAAUAUUUUAUUAUUUAAAAGUAUAACUCUUAGACAGAGUGCUUUAAUCCAUAUUUAUUUAUAGUGAGUAUAUCUUUUAUGGGUUGAUAUACUAUAUUCACUAUAAACCACACUCUGAUACCAAUCUGUCACACCCCAAAACCACGAACGGCGGAAACGUUCAGGGGUGGAGGACGUCAUGUACAGUAUCACAACAAUGUAGUAUAAUUAACAAGCAACAACAUCAUCCAUUGCAUUAUAAGUAAAGUUUAAUACAUGUGUGUUCUUUCAUUGUAAUAAGACACCAAAAAUAUACAAUGAAAAUAAAAGACGAAACUUGUCUGCUCCGUCUUCUCAAAACCUGGCAUCCGUACCUGUCUACUAAUGACCUAAGAAUACAAGUUAUUUUGAAAGCGAGUAUCAUCUUUAAAGCUGGUGAAUUCAUAAGUAUAAUAGUGUCAUUGCCUUGUUUGUAAAAAUUUGUUAUGAAGGUCAUGUAAACCUUUAAAUGAAAAUGUUGAGGUAAGUAUGAAAUCCCUAGAAAAACCCAUAUUUUCUAUAAGUAUGAAAUGUAGUCUUCUACCAAGACCCGAAUGUUCUGUACGUAUGAAGUGUAGUCUUCUACCAAGACCCGAAUGUUUUGUAAGUAUGAAGUGUAGUCUUCUACCAAGACCCGAAUGUUUUGUAAGUAUGAAGUGUAGUCUUCUACCAAGACCCGAAUGUUCUGUUUGUAAAAUGAUAGUUUUUCCUUUGUAUUGACUAGUACUAAAAGUGCUUAGUCUAACUCAUCGUUUAUGUGAAUGUAUCACAAAAUAAAGUAAACAGGAAAAUGUACUACUGUAAGUGUUGUCACUGGGUACUAGGACCAACACAGCAUCGCAUUAAGCGAAAUGUAUAACCUAAUGAACAUCCGAAGAUUGUCCAAUUGUCCUCUGUAGCAGCAGCAGGUGGGUGGAAGGGUUAGUCCCAAUCGAUCUACCUAAUAUAAGUAGUAACCUUAGACCUCCGUAGAUGGUCAUCGACCACUGGUGCUAAUCAGUGGGGUUCAGAAUGGUAAGUCCCGCCUAGAUAUCCCAGUGAACCGGGAUAGGAAAGAUAAUUUACACAGAAAGUACUAAUAAAUUAUCCUCUUAGUUCUACGUACAAGUAUCCAGGUAAGUGAAUACAGGAUAAUGCACCUAUGUAAAAGUGUUCCUGUAUGGCAUUCAUGUAUGUGUGUCCAUGUAACAGGUAAGUAUAUGUGAACAUAUUCAUGUAUCAGGUAAGCAUCUGUAAGUACUCAUGUAUCAGGAAAUGUACUAGUAUAGACUCAUGAAUGAACUGACUCUUGUGUGAUUCCUUGUAAUAGAAAUAAUGUUUGAUAUCUUCAAAUUAUCC